CCUCCCAGGGCAGGGUUAUUGUGUGGGCAGCUCGCAGCUUCUACUAGGAACCUGGAAUGAUUCCCAGUUGAAGAGCACCCCAACCAUGUCCUGCACCAGGAAAGUUCCAACUGUGCACAUCUAGCCUCCUGGGAGUCUAGCAGUUCAGUCUGGACAAUAGCAAGCCCUAAAUAGGACCCUGGGCAUGUGGGCUCCUGUAUAACGACAGGCCCUGGACUGCUCUUUUGGAAUCUCUAACUAACCAAUAUAAGGAUGCAGUAAGGACAUGGCAGUUCUGGCCCCUCAGCCUGCCUCUCCUCUGGCACCUCCAUUUCCAGGCUUUGUCUAGAUCUCCUGUCCAUUUACCCCUGGCAGAGCCUGGCACUUGCAGACACCCUGUGCCCUCAGCCCAUUUCUCUGCCCCAAUUCCUAUCAUUUUGAGACUGUCUGCCUGGUGUGCACCUGCAGCUGGUGGGAGAGUCCUGGAGCAGAGACCCUGAUUAUGUAGACGACAAAUGUCCCUUGAAGGCCCAUGAAUUUUUGAAGACUCGAUCACCAGCUUGUAGGAGUUGGUGGAACCUUCCUUUCAGAGGUGGGACUUAGUGGGAAGAAGUUAAGUCAUCAAGACUGUGACCUUUAAAGGCAUUGGGGGCCAGCUCUGUCCCUUCUAGCUCAUUGAUGUCUGAUUGCCAUGAGAUUCACUCACAUAUCACAUGCAGUUAUCUGCGCUCCUGCAAUGGAGAAGGAAGACAUGAUACUAG
This is a long non-coding RNA of Grammomys surdaster, 740 nucleotides long. RefSeq lists it as uncharacterized. The transcript is spliced from 3 exons. Lineage: Eukaryota; Metazoa; Chordata; Mammalia; Rodentia; Muridae. The record is from RefSeq and is a predicted model, not a curated record.